This 497-nucleotide ribosomal RNA is filed under the name uncultured bacterium. Its description in RNAcentral is "partial 16S ribosomal RNA". It matches the Rfam family "Bacterial small subunit ribosomal RNA", at positions 28 to 507 of the family's 1533-position model. The record is from RNAcentral.
GAUGAACGCUGGCGGCGUGCCUAAUACAUGCAAGUCGAGCGAACAGAUAAGGAGCUUGCUCCUUUGACGUUAGCGGCGGACAGGUGAGUAACACGUGGGUAACCUACCUAUAAGACUGGGAUAACUUCGGGAAACCGGAGCUAAUACCGGAUAACAUUUGGAACCGCAUGGUUCUAAAGUGAAAGAUGGUUUUGCUAUCACUUAUAGAUGGACCCGCGCCGUAUUAGCUAGUUGGUAAGGUAACGGCUUACCAAGGCAACGACACGUAGCCGACCUGAGAGGGUGAUCGGCCACACUGGAACUGAGACACGGUCCAGACUCCUACGGGAGGCAGCAGUAGGGAAUCUUCCGCAAUGGGCGAAAGCCUGACGGAGCAACGCCGCGUGAGUGAUGAAGGGUUUCGGCUCGUAAAACUCUGUUAUUAGGGAAGAACAAAUGUGUAAGUAACUGUGCACGUCUUGACGGUACCUAAUCAGAAAGCCACGGCUAACUACGUG